Molecule: non-coding RNA, 116 nt
Organism: Trichosporon asahii var. asahii CBS 2479
Lineage: Eukaryota; Fungi; Basidiomycota; Tremellomycetes; Trichosporonales; Trichosporonaceae
Source: the annotation of a RefSeq genome assembly
GGCGAGAUGGCCGAGCGGUCUAAGGCGCUGUGUUAAGGUUAUCGAGGCUUCGGAACUCCGAGCCUCGGCAUCACCUCCGCAGUCUUCGGACGUGGGUUCGAAUCCCACUCUCGUCA